GUGGGGAAUAUUGGACAAUGGGGGGAACCCUGAUCCAGCCAUGUCGCGUGUGUGAAGAAGGCCUUUUGGUUGUAAAGCACUUUAAGCGAGGAGGAGGCUACCGAGAUUAAUACUCUUGGAUAGUGGACGUUACUCGCAGAAUAAGCACCGGCUAACUCUGUGCCAGCAGCCGCGGUAAUACAGAGGGUGCAAGCGUUAAUCGGAUUUACUGGGCGUAAAGCGCGCGUAGGUGGCCAAUUAAGUCAAAUGUGAAAUCCCCGAGCUUAACUUGGGAAUUGCAUUCGAUACUGGGUGGCUAGAGUAUGGGAGAGGAUGGUAGAAUUCCAGGUGUAGCGGUGAAAUGCGUAGAGAUCUGGAGGAAUACCGAUGGCGAAGGCAGCCAUCUGGCCCAAUACUGACACUGAGGUGCGAAAGCAUGGGGAGCAAACAGGAUUAGAUACCCGUGUAGUCC
This 451-nucleotide ribosomal RNA is filed under the name uncultured bacterium. Its description in RNAcentral is "partial 16S ribosomal RNA". It matches the Rfam family "Bacterial small subunit ribosomal RNA", at positions 354 to 796 of the family's 1533-position model. The record is from RNAcentral.